RNAcentral lists this ribosomal RNA (429 nucleotides) under Pseudomonadota bacterium. RNAcentral describes it as "Proteobacteria bacterium partial 16S ribosomal RNA". It matches the Rfam family "Bacterial small subunit ribosomal RNA", at positions 355 to 776 of the family's 1533-position model. The record is from RNAcentral. Lineage: Bacteria; Pseudomonadati; Pseudomonadota.
UGGGGAAUAUUGGACAAUGGGCGAAAGCCUGAUCCAGCCAUGCCGCGUGUGUGAAGAAGGUCUUCGGAUUGUAAAGCACUUUAUGUUGGGAGGAAGGGCAGUAAGCGAAUACCUUGCUGUUUUGACGUUACCGACAGAAUAAGCACCGGCUAACUCUGUGCCAGCAGCCGCGGUAAAACAGAGGGUGGAAGCGUUAAUCGGAAUUACUGGGCGGAAAGCGCGCGUAGGUGGUUCGUUAAGUUGAAUGUGAAAGCCCCGGGCUCAACCUGGGAAAUGCAUCCAAAACUGGCGGGCUAGAGUAGGGCAGAGGGGGGUGGAAUUUCCUGUGUAGCGGUGAAAUGCGUAGAUAUAGGAAGGAACACCAGUGGCGAAGGCGACCACCUGGGCUCAUACUGACACUGAGGUGCGAAAGCGUGGGGAGCAAACAGG